This 378-nucleotide unclassified non-coding RNA is filed under the name uncultured Pseudomonadota bacterium. RNAcentral's name for it is "uncultured proteobacterium contains 16S-23S intergenic spacer region". Lineage: Bacteria; Pseudomonadati; Pseudomonadota. The record is from RNAcentral.
UCCGACUUAACGUCGGCAGUCUCGCCAGAGUGCUCAGCUUGACCUGUUAGCAACUGACGACAAGGGUUGCGCUCGUUGCGGGACUUAACCCAACAUCUCACGACACGAGCUGACGACAGCCAUGCAGCACCUUCUCACCGGCUCCCCGAAGGGCACCCCUCCAUCUCUGGAAGGUUCCGGCGGAUUUAACCCAGGUAAGGUUCUUCGCGUUGCGUCGAAUUAAACCACAUGCUCCACCGCUUGUGCGGGUCCCCGUCAAUUCCUUUGAGUUUUAGCCUUGCGGCCGUACUCCCCAGGCGGUCAACUUCACGCGUUAGCUUCGUUACCAAGGAAUUACUUCCCCGACAACCAGUUGACAUCGUUUAGGGCGUGGACUAC